GACGAACGCUGGCGGCGUGCUUAACACAUGCAAGUCGAACGGAAAGGCCCUGCUUUUGUGGGGUGCUCGAGUGGCGAACGGGUGAGUAGCACGUGAGUAACCUGCCCUUGACUUUGGGAUAACUUCAGGAAACUGGGGCUAAUACCGGAUAGGAGCUCCUGCUGCAUGGUGGGGGUUGGAAAGUUUCGGCGGUUGGGGAUGGACUCGCGGCUUAUCAGCUUGUUGGUGGGGUAGUGGCUUACCAAGGCUUUGACGGGUAGCCGGCCUGAGAGGGUGACCGGCCACAUUGGGACUGAGAUACGGCCCAGACUCCUACGGGAGGCAGCAGUGGGGAAUAUUGCACAAUGGGCGGAAGCCUGAUGCAGCAACGCCGCGUGCGGGACGACGGCCUUCGGGUUGUAAACCGCUUUCGCCUGUGACGAAGCGUGAGUGACGGUAAUGGGUAAAGAAGCACCGGCUAACUACGUG
RNAcentral lists this ribosomal RNA (468 nucleotides) under uncultured bacterium. Its description in RNAcentral is "partial 16S ribosomal RNA". It matches the Rfam family "Bacterial small subunit ribosomal RNA", at positions 28 to 507 of the family's 1533-position model. The record is from RNAcentral.